UGUGGCUUAAUUUGACUCAACGCGGGAAAUCUUACCGGGUCCGGACACACUGAGGAUUGACAGGCAAUAUCUCAUGUUAACGGUAAGUUUACUUACCGCUUAACAUCGAGUGUUAAAUAUGCUAGUCCUUUCAUGAUUAUGUGAUAGGUGGUGCAUGGCCGUUCUUAGUUCGUGGAGUGAUCUGUCUGCUUAAUUGCGUUUCACUAAGGGCCCAUAAAUUCAAGGUAUGUUAGCUCUCGUCGCUCUAUGGACCCCUUAACUCCAAUAUUCUUAUUGUGUUAAGCGCGUGUCUUUAUUUUAAGAGUUUUAAGACACUGCGCAUGCUGUUGGGCUCUGAAAGCAACGAACGUGACCGCAACGUCUUGUUGCCUUAAACUAGCGUAUAUUGCAAUUUAUUGCAAUAUCGCUUACAGAGGCUAUUUAAAACUAGACGGACCGCUGUUUCUUUCUUAAACCAGAGGAAGGUUGCGGCAAUAACAGGU
This 482-nucleotide ribosomal RNA is filed under the name Neogloboquadrina pachyderma. RNAcentral describes it as "SSU rRNA". It matches the Rfam family "Eukaryotic small subunit ribosomal RNA", at positions 1184 to 1461 of the family's 1831-position model. Lineage: Eukaryota; Foraminifera; Rotaliida; Globorotaliidae. The record is from RNAcentral.